Molecule: ribosomal RNA, 721 nt
Filed under: uncultured bacterium
Lineage: Bacteria
Description: bacterial SSU rRNA
Rfam family: Bacterial small subunit ribosomal RNA
Source: RNAcentral
UACAUGCAAGUCGAACGGUGAAGCAGAGCUUGCUCUGUGGAUCAGUGGCGAACGGGUGAGUAACACGUGAGUAACCUGCCUUUAGCUCUGGGAUAACCCCGGGAAACCGGGGCUAAUACCGGAUACGACCAAUCAAGACAUCUUGUGUUGGUAGAAAGUUUUUCGGCUAAAGAUGGACUCGCGGCCUAUCAGCUUGUUGGUGAGGUAACGGCUCACCAAGGCGACGACGGGUAGCCGACCUGAGAGGGUGUACGGCCACACUGGGACUGAGACACGGCCCAGACUCCUACGGGAGGCAGCAGUGGGGAAUUUUGCGCAAUGGACGAAAGUCUGACGCAGCGACGCCGCGUGAGGGAUGAAGGUCUUCGGAUUGUAAACCUCUUUCAGUAGGGAAGAAGCGAAAGUGACGGUACCUAAAGAAGAAGCACCGGCUAACUAUGUGCCAGCAGCCGCGGUAAUACAUAGGGUGCAAGCGUUGUCCGGAAUUAUUGGGCGUAAAGAGCUCGUAGGUCGUUUGUCGCGUCGAUUGUGAAAAUCUGAGGCUCAACCUCAGACCUGCAGUCGAUACGGGCAAACUAGAGUGUGGUAGGGGAGACUGGAAUUCCUGGUGUAGCGGUGGAAUGCGCAGAUAUCAGGAGGAACACCAAUGGCGAAGGCAGGUCUCUGGGCCAUAACUGACACUGAGGAGCGAAAGUGCGGGGAGCGAACAGGAUUAGAUACC